UCAGGACGAACGCUGGCGGCGUGCUUAACACAUGCAAGUCGAACGGUGAAGGAAGAGCUUGCUCUUCCGGAUCCAGUGGCGAACGGGUGAGUAACACGUGGGCAACCUGCCCCUGACUCUGGGAUAACUCCUCGAAAGAGGUGCUAAUACCGGAUACGACCACUUCGGACAUCCGAUGGUGGUGGAAAGUUUUCGGUCAGGGAUGGGCCCGCGGCCUAUCAGCUAGUUGGUGGGGUAAUGGCCUACCAAGGCGACGACGGGUAGCCGGCCUGAGAGGGCGACCGGCCACACUGGGACUGAGACACGGCCCAGACUCCUACGGGAGGCAGCAGUGGGGAAUAUUGCGCAAUGGGCGAAAGCCUGACGCAGCGACGCCGCGUGAGGGAUGAAGGCCUUCGGGUUGUAAACCUCUUUCAGCAGGGACGAAGCGAAAGUGACGGUACCUGCAGAAGAAGCACCGGCUAACUACGUG
Molecule: ribosomal RNA, 472 nt
Filed under: uncultured bacterium
Lineage: Bacteria
Description: bacterial SSU rRNA
Rfam family: Bacterial small subunit ribosomal RNA
Source: RNAcentral